GUUCAACAGACAUUUAAAAAGGACAUCAGAAAACGAAGACAAGACCCUUUUGAUUUUAUUCGGGAAUAUGAUUCAAUACCUACUGUUGGGGCAGAUUUUGGUCUUUUGGACUUUGUCAAACCCACUGUUCCAUGUGGAGAAUUUGAAGAAACCCCUAAAACUACCCAAAGAACACUUUCAUCAAGUAAAACGUACACACCUGUUAUGACGACUGCUGGAGCAACAACCUUACCUGAAACCAUGCCUUAUUUAACAUCUGCUGCUGGAACCACAAUAGCUCUGAAAACUACUUCUACUGAAACUACUUUUCCAGACAUCACGUCCAUAGAAACUACUUCUCCGAGAACUAAUACUGCUGAAAUAAUGCCCUCCAUUAGUUCAACAGUAAAUAUUUUAGGAGCAUCCACAAAUGUAAUGACAAUCUCAUCUGAGCCAACACCUGCCGUAAUGUUUGCGGUUGAAACCGCAAUGGCUAAAACUACCACAGAGACUAAUACCCUUGCCACAACUGCUGAAGAAACUACUAACCUUGGCAUCACUUCUGAAGAAACUACUACCACUUCUGUAGAAAGCACAACCCUUGGCACAACUUCUGCAGAAAGCACAACCCUUGGCAUCACUUCUGCAGAAACUACUACCACUUCUGUAGAAAGCACAACCCUGGGCACGACUUCUGCAGAACCUACUACCCUUGGAAUCACUUCUGCAGAAACUACUACCCUGGGCACGACUUCUGCAGACACUACUACCACUUCUGUAGAAAGCACAACCCUGGGCACGAUUUCUGCAGAAACAACUACCCUUGGCAUCACUUCUGCAGCAAGUACCUCACUUGGCACCUCUUCUGUAGAAAGUACAAUCCUGGGCAUGACUUCUGCAGAAACUACUACACUUGGCAUCAUUUCUGCAAAAACUACUACCACUUCUGUAGAAAGCACAACCCUGGGCACGACUUCUGCAGAAAGAGCAACCCUGGAAACCACUGAUGUGGAAACUACUACCCUUGGCACCCCUUCUGUAGAAAGCACAACCCUUGGUGCCACUGUUGCAGAAAAAACAUCCUCUGCUAGUUCAACAGGAAUAUUGGAAACAUCCACACUUGUAAAAACAACUGCUGGAACAACAGCAACUACGUCUGCCUCAACAUCUCCAGUUGAAACCACAAUAGCUCAAACUACCACUCCUGCAGAAACCACUACCUUUGACACCACUUCUGCAGCAAGUACCUUACUUGACACCACUUCUGUAGAAAAAACAUUCUCUGCAAGUUCAACAGGAAUCUUCGAAACAUCCUGGCUUGUAACAACUGCUGGAACAACAGCAACUACGUCUGCCUCAACAUCUCCAGUUGAAACCACAAUAGCUCAAACUACCACUCCUGCAGAAACCACUACCUUUGACACCACUUCUGCAGCAAGUACCUUACUUGACACCACUUCUGUAGAAAAAACAUUCUCUGCAAGUUCAACAGGAAUCUUCGAAACAUCCUGGCUUGUAACAACUGCUGGAACAACAGCAGCUACGCCUGGCUCAACAUCUGCAGUCAAAACCACAAUGGCUCAAACUACACCUUUUUCAGAAUUUACUGCACUUGGCUCCACUUCUGUUGAAAGUACUAUCCUGGGCACCACUUCUGCAGAAACGACAUUCUCUGUAAGUUCAACAGGAAUAUUGGUUACAUCUACACCAGUAUUGACGUCUGCUGGAACAACUUCAUUUACAACUACACCUGGCUUAACAUCUGUUAUUGGAGCCACAAUGGCUCAAACUACUACUUCUGCAGAAAUUACUACACUUGGAACCACAUCUAUAGAAGGUACUACCCUUGGCACCACUUCAGUUCAAAUUACAUCCUCGGUUAGCUCAACAGGGAUGGUGUUGGAUACAGCCACACCAGUUACAACAACUGCUGGAAAAACAACCUCAGCUAUAAUUAGACCCGAAUUAACGUCUGUUUUUGAAGCUACAAUGGCUCAAAUUGCCACUUCUGCAGAAAUGACUACACUUGGCACGCCUUAUAUAGAAAGUGCUAGCUUAAGGACCACUUCUACAGAAAUGGAAAUCUCUGCAAGUUCAACAGAAUUAUCGGAAACAUCCAUGCUUGAAAUGACAACAGCCAGAACAACAACAACCUCAACUGUAACUAUGCCUGCCUUAUCAUCUGCUGUUGAAACAACAGUGGCUCAGCGUACCACCUCUGCAGAAAUUACUGCACUUGGUGCCACUUCUAUACAAUGUACAGCCCUAGGCACCACUUCUGCAGAAAUUACUACCCUUGGAAUCACAUCUGUGGAAAGUACUACACUUGGCAGUACUUCUGUAGAUAUUAGUACUCUGGGCACCUCUUCUGCAAAAACUCCCUCACUUGGCACCACUUCUGUAGAAAGUACAACCCUGAGCACAAUCUCUGCAGAAACUACUACUUUUGGCAUCCCUUCUAUAGAAAGCACAAACCUGGGCACCACUUCUGCAGAAACAACAUCCUCUGUAAGUUCAACUGGAAUCUUGUUAACAUCCAUGCUUGUAAUGACAACUGCUGGAACAACAAGCAUGACUACGCCUGCCUUAACAUCUGCUGUUGAAACCACAGUGGCUCAAACUGCCUCUUUUACAGAAAUUACAACACUUGGCUCCACUUCUACAGAAACUACUACCCUUGGCACCACUUCUGUAGAAAGUACAACCCUGGGUACCACUUCUGCAGAAACAACAUCCUCUGUAAGUUCAACAGGAAUCUUGGAAACAUCCACGCUUGUAAUGACAACUGCUGGAACAACAGCAACUAUGCCUUCCUCAACAUCUGCAGUUGAAACCACAAUGGCUCAAACUGCCUCUUUUACAGAAAUUACAACACUUGGCUCCACUUCUACAGAAACUACUACCCUUGGCACCACUUCUGUAGAAAGUACAACCCUGGGUACCACUUCUGCAGAAACAACAUCCUCUGUAAGUUCAACAGGAAUCUUGGAAACAUCCACGCUUGUAAUGACAACUGCUGGAACAACAGCAACUAUGCCUUCCUCAACAUCUGCAGUUGAAACCACAAUGGCUCAAACUGCCUCUUUUACAGAAAUUACAACACUUGGCUCCACUUCUACAGAAACUACUACCCUUGGCACCACUUCUGUAGAAAGUACAACCCUGGGUACCACUUCUGCAGAAACAACAUCCUCUGUAAGUUCAACAGGAAUCUUGGAAACAUCCACACCAGUAAUGACAACUGCUGCAACACCAAACUCAAUCAUAACCACGCCUGCCUUAACAUCUGCAGUUGAAUCCACAAUGGCUCAAACUACCACUUUUGCAGGAAUUACUACACUUGGAAACACAUCUGUAGAAAUUACUGCACUUGACAGCACUUCUGUGGAAAGUACAACCCUGGGCACCACUUUUGCAGAAACUACUAUCCUUGGCUCCUUUGCUGCAGAAACUGCUACCCAUGGCACCAUUUUUGUAGAAAGUACCACUAUUGCCACAACUUCUGCUGAAAUUACACCCUCAGUUAGUUUAACAGGAGUACUGUUGGAAACAUCCACAAUAGUACCGUCAACUGCUGGAACAACAAAGUUGUACUUUGAUCCAAAAAUUACUAAACUUGGCAGCACUUCUGUAGAAACUACUGCCAUCGACACCCCUUCUGUAGAAGGUACUACCUUAAAAACCUCCUCCAUAAAAACUACAUCCUCUGUAAAUUCAACAGGAAUAUUGGUUACAUCUACACCAGUAUUGACGUCUGCUGGAACAACUUCAGUUACUACUACACCUGGCUUAACAUCUGUUAUUGGAACCACAAUGGCUCAAACUACUACUUCUGCAGAAAUUACUACACUUGGAACCACAUCUAUAGAAAGUACUAUGCUGGGCACCAUUUCUGCUGGAAGUACACCCUCAGUUCGCUCAACAGGAAGAAUAUUGGAAAUAUCCACACCAGUAAUGACAACUGCUGGAGCAACAACCUCAUCUGUAGCUAUACCUGCCUUAACAGCUCCUGCUGAAACCACAAAAGGUCAAUCUACCAUUUCUGCAGAAAUUGCUACAAAUGGAACCAUGUCUGUAAAAAUUACAGCACUUGGCACCACUUCUGUAGACAGUACAACCUUGGACACCACUUCUGCCAAAACCAGUACCCUUGACACCACUUCUGUGGACAUUGCUACACUUGGCACCACUAUUGUAGAAAGUACAACCCUGAGCACUACUUCUGCUGAAACAACAUCCUCUGUAAGUUCAACAGGAACAUUUGGGACUACUACACUUGCCACUACUUCUAUAGAAAGUACUACCCUUGGCACCACUUCAGUUCAAAUUACAUCCUCGGUUAGCUCAACAGGGAUGGUGUUGGAUACAUCCACACCAGUUACAACAACUGCUGGAGCAACAACCUCAGCUAUAAUUAGACCCGAAUUAACAUCUGUUUUUGAAACGGCAAUGGCUCAAAUUGCCACUUCUGCAGAAAUGACUACACUUGGCACCCCUUAUAUAGAAAGUACUAGCUUAAGGACCACUUCUACAGAAACGGAAAUCUCUGCAAGUUCAAAAGAAUUAUUGGAAACAUCCACGCUUGAAAUGACAACGGCUGGAACAACAACAACCUCAUCUGUAACUAUGCCUGCCUUAUCAUCUGCUGUUGAAACCACAAUGGCUCAAACUGCCUCUUUUACAGAAAUUACAACACUUGGUGCCACUUCUAUACAAUGUACAGCCCUAGGCACCACUUCUGCAGAAAUUACUACCCUUGGAAUCACAUCUGUGGAAAGUACUACACUUGGCACCACUUCUGUAGAAAGUACAACCCUGAGCACAAUCUCUGCAGAAACUACUACUUUUGGCAUCACUUCUAUAGAAAGCACAACCCUGGGCACCACUUCUGCAGAAACAACAUCCUCUGUAAGUUCAACUGGAAUCUUGUUAACAUCCAUGCUUGUAAUGACAACUGCUGGAACAACAAGCAUGACUACGCCUGCCUUAACAUCUGCUGUUGAAACCACAGUGGCUCAAACUACCACUUCUGCAGAAAUUACUGCACUUGGCACCACUUCUGUAGAAAGUACAACCCUGGGCACCACUUCUGCAGAAACAAUAUCCUCUGUAAGUUCAACAGAAUUAUUGGAAACAUCCACGCUUGGAAUGACAAUGGCCGGAACAACAACCUCAACUAUAACUAUGCCUGCCUUAACGUCUGCUGUUGAAACAACAGUGGCUCAGUGUACCACCUCUGCAGAAAUUACUACACUUGGUGCCACUUCUAUAGAAUGUACAGCCCUAGGCACCAUUUCUGCAGAAAUUACUACCCUUGGCAUCACUGAAACUACCUCAGUUCAUUCAACAGAAAUAGUAUUGGAAUCAUCCACACCAUUAAUGACAACUACUGGAACACCAACCUCAACCAUAACUAUGCCUGCCUUGACAUCUGCUGAUGAAACCACAAUGGCUCAAACUACUACUUCUGCAGAAAGUACUACCCUUGAACCCACACCUGUAGAAGGUACUGCACUUGGCAGCACUUCUGUAGAAACUGCUACUUUUGGUACCUCUUCUGCAGGAACUACCUCACUUGGAACCACUUCUGCAGAAAGCACAACCCUGGGCACCUCUUCUGCUGAAACAACAUCCUCUGUAAGUUCAACGGGAAUCUUGAAAACAUCGCUUGUAACAACUGCUGGAACAACAGCAGCUACGCCUGGCUCAACAUCUGCAGUCAAAACCACAAUGGCUCAAACUACACCUUUUUCAGAAAUUACUGCACUUGGCUCCACUUCUGUUGAAAGAACUAUCCUGGGCACCACUUCUGCAGAAACUACUACCCUUGGCACUACUACUGUAGAAAGUACAACCCUGUGCACCACUUCUGCAGAAACAACAUCCUCUGUAAGUUCAACAGAAUUAUUGGAAACAUCCAUGCUUGGAAUGACAAUGGCCGGAACGACAACAACAACCUCAACUGUAACUAUGCCUGCCUUAUCAUCUGCUGUUGAAACAACAGUGGCUCAGUGUACCACCUCUGCAGAAAUUACUACACUUGGUGCCACUUCUAUACAAUGUACAGCCCUAGGCACCAUUUCUGCAGAAAUUACUACUCUUGGCAUCACUGAAACUACCUCAGUUCGUUCAACAGAAAUAGUAUUGGAAACAUCCACACCAUUAAGGACAAAUACUGGAACACCAACCUCAACCAUAACUACGCCUUCCUUGACAUUUGCUGUUGAAACCACAAUGGCUCAAACUACCACUUCUGCAGAAAGUACUACCCUUGAACCCACACCUGUAGAAGGUACUGCACUUGGCAGCACUUCUGUAGAAACUGCUACUUUUGGUACCUCUUCUGCAGGAACUACCUCACUUGGGACCACUUCUGCAGAAAGCACAACCCUGGGCACCACUUCUGCUGAAACAACAUCCUCUGUAAGUUCAACAGGAAUAUUGGAAACAUCCAUGCUUGUACUGACAACUGCAGGAACAACAACCUCAGCUAUAACUAUACCUGGAUUAACAUCUGUUGUUGAAAUGAUGAUUACUCAAACUACCACUUCUGCAGAAAUUACUACUCUUGACACCAGUUUUGCAAUAACUGCACCCUCAGUUAAUUCAGCAGGAAUAGUAUUGGAAACCACACCAGUAAAAACAACUGCUGGAACAACAACCUCAACUAUAACUACACCUGCCUUAACAUCAGUUGUUGAAACCACAAUGGCUCAAACUACCACUUCUGCAGAAAGUACUAAAUUUGGUACCAUUUCUGGAGAAACCGCACCCUUAGUUAGUUCAAAGGCAAUAGUAUUGGCAACAUCCCCACCAGUAAUGACAACUACUGGAAAAACAACCUCAGCUAUAACUUUGCCUUGCUUAACAUCUGUUGAUGAAACCACAGUGACCAAAACUACCACUUCUACAGAAAGUACUACCUUGGGCACUACUUUUCCAAAAACUACUACUCUUGGCACCACUAUAACUACACCUGCCUUAACAUCUGUUGUUGAAGCCACAAUGGCUCAAACUACCAUUAGGCACCACUACUGCAGAAACUACAACACUUGGCACCAAUUCUGCAAAAAAAAACACCACCGUUGGUCCCACUUUUGUAGAAGGUACUUCCCUGGGUACCACUUGUGCACUACCCUUAGUACUACAUCUGUAGAAGGUACUAACUUGGCCACUACUUCUCCAGAAACUACACUUGGAACCACUUCUGCAUUAACUAUAAUGCUUGAUAGCACUUUUGCUGAAACAACACCCUCAAUUAGUUCAGCAGGAACUACAGCUGUAGGCACACCUGUCUUAACGCCUGCCGUUGAAACCACAAUGGCUCAAACUACCAUUAGGCACCACUACUGUAGAAACUACUACCUUUGGCACCACUUUUGUAAAAAAAACCACCGUUGGUCCCACUUUUGUAGAAGGUACUUCCCUGGGUACCACUUGUGCACCACCCUUAGUACUACAUCUGUAGAAGGUACUAACUUGGGCACUACUUCUCCAGAAACUACACUUGGAACCACUUCUGCAUUAACUAUAAUGCUUGAUAGCACUUUGCUGAAACAACACCCUCAAUUAGUUCAGCAGGAACUACAGCUAUAG
This 7575-nucleotide long non-coding RNA is filed under the name Sinocyclocheilus grahami. Its description in RNAcentral is "lncRNA (ENSSGRG00000033405.1)". Lineage: Eukaryota; Metazoa; Chordata; Actinopteri; Cypriniformes; Cyprinidae. The record is from RNAcentral.